GCUUGGAAGUCUACAGUGGAAGAGUGAGGGAACUUUGGUCAGCUGCUUUUCCUCUCCUCAGCUCUCCUCCCUCAUCGGUUUCUGCUUUUGGCCUCUUCAAAGCUGCAAGAGGGAAGGAGAAAAGGUCAGAAAGGGUUCUUUGUUUGAAAUCAUCUCCUUUCCAGCAAAGACUGCUUUAACUAGCAUAAUAUAUGCUUCAUAUGCAGCACUAAUUUAUUUGGCAGUCUGUGUUAAUGCUGUGCUGAAGAAGGUAAAGAACAUCUUCCAGGAAGAAGAAUCCAUCAGGCAAAACAGAGAGGAGAGUGAAAAUUGUAGAAAAGCCUUUUCUGAGCCUGUGCUUUCGGAGCCUAUGUUUGCUGAAGGUGAAAUCAAAGCAAAACCUUAUAGGUCAUUGCCGGAGAAGCCAGACAUUUCAGAUUACCCCAAGCUUCUUGCUAAUAAGCAGAGUAAUAACAUCCAAGUUUUACAUUCUGUGUUUGACCAAUCAGCUGAAAUGAAUGAGCAAAUCUGAAUACAGAUAUCACUGAACAGAACUUAAGAGUUAUCUAUUUAAUGGCACAUUUCAUCUGACAAAACUCAGAGUCCAGUUUACAUAUUCUGAAUUGCUCUGCUUUCUUAAAAAAAAGAGAAGGGGGCUACUAUUAAAAUGUCAUUUUCUAGUAUUUACAUGAUAGAGUAAAUAAAAUGAAUAUUGAUGUGGAA
RNAcentral lists this small RNA (702 nucleotides) under Pan troglodytes (chimpanzee). Its description in RNAcentral is "processed transcript". The record is from RNAcentral. Lineage: Eukaryota; Metazoa; Chordata; Mammalia; Primates; Hominidae.